UACGACUACAUAUCAGGCAUAUCAAUAAGCGGAGGAAAAGAAACUAACAAGGAUUCCCUUCAGUAACGGCGAGUGAAGCGGGAAGAGCUCAAAUUUGAAAUCUUCAAGGUUCUACCUUGACGAAUUGUAGUUUAAAGAAGUGUUUUCUGUUAGGAGUUUUGGUAAAAGUUCUUUGGAAUAGGACAUCAUAGAGGGUGAGAAUCCCGUAUUUGACCAGUUACUUUCCAGCUGUGUGAUACACUUUCAAAGAGUCGGAUUGUUUGGGAAUGCAGUCCAAAAUGGGUGGUAAAUUUCAUCUAAAGCUAAAUAUUGGCGAGAGACCGAUAGCGAACAAGUACCGUGAGGGAAAGAUGAAGAGAACUUUGAAAAGAGAGUUAAACAGUACGUGAAAUUGUCAAAAGGGAAGCGUUUGACACCAGUGUUGUUUUCUCGAAAAUCAAUUAAAAAAAGUUGGAUUUUGUGUUGUAUUGACCUUAACAGCUUGCUUCACUCUUUUCCAGCUUUUUUUAAUGCACUUUUCGUUUAACAAGUCAACAUCAGUUUCUUUUGUUGUAAAAGGGUCAUUGGAAGGUGGCUUUCUCUUCGGAGAAAGUGUUUAUAGCCUUUGGCCUCUGCAAUCGGAGAGAUUGAGGUCUGCAGCGUAGAUCCUUCGGGGUUAGAUACAUUUGUGCUAAGUUAUAGCCUUUCAUAGACAACUUGUUGACUAUGAUCAGUCAUGUAGCUUACUCGCUUAUGCUAUUUUACCUACGCUUAGGAUGUUGAGCGCAUGUCUCUCUCU
Molecule: ribosomal RNA, 778 nt
Filed under: uncultured Neocallimastigales
Lineage: Eukaryota; Fungi; Neocallimastigomycota; Neocallimastigomycetes; Neocallimastigales
Description: partial large subunit ribosomal RNA
Rfam family: Eukaryotic large subunit ribosomal RNA
Source: RNAcentral